This 90-nucleotide non-coding RNA is filed under the name Bacillus sp. (in: firmicutes). RNAcentral's name for it is "Bacillus sp. c-di-GMP sequence". It matches the Rfam family "c-di-GMP-I riboswitch aptamer". From Rfam's summary of the family: GEMM was predicted in a large-scale screen for bacterial structured RNA regulatory elements. Genes associated with GEMM are involved in a diverse array of functions, including chemotaxis regulation, signal transduction, secretion and chitin. The record is from RNAcentral. RNAcentral also lists the same sequence under 1 other name. Lineage: Bacteria; Bacillati; Bacillota; Bacilli; Caryophanales; Bacillaceae.
CAAUAGAUAUGGCAAAUUUUAUGAAAGUAAAAGACGCAAAGCCACGGGUCUAAAGUGAUAUCCAAUCACCAUGACAGCCGGGUUGCCAAG